CCGCGGUUAAACCUCGUCGAAGAAGAAGUAAACUGCUAUCGAUUUCGAAGCAUGCUUCGGAGUUUCAGUAUCAAACGUAACAUCACUAGGGUUCAGCAGAAACAUUGGAUACCAGAUUCCCCCAAAAAUCGUGGACAGUUUAACCACACAGUUCAUGUCUCCUAGAAUGCUUUUAGACGGAGUCGACAAUCCGAGGGAGCCGUAUCUGUUCACUACAAACAGGAACAGAAGAACUGAGCGAGCUCCCUCAGCCUACUAUUCACUCUCAUGCCUACUGUUAUUGGUGGAAGGAAUACCUGAGCGUAAUAUAUUUUUUCUGGCACAGCAUUGUAAUGGACACAUUGAACCCAAUCAUUUUUGUUUUUUAAUUUUGCCGAAACAUUGCAAUGGAAACAUGAGAAUUCCCCCCUCCCAGGAAUAACUUUUAUCGAUCCUUAUUGUUCUUAUGGAUAUAAUUCACUUGGAGUUCUUUGUUUGUUUUAUGCUCCAAGUUCCACUGAACUGUGGAAGAAAUACUUUUAUUCUGUUAAGUCAGAGGUAUUUCCCCAAGCCUGCAAUCUGUUGUUUCAUCCCCUGUGGAUCAAAGAGAUGUCAGACAAAAAAAGCACAUUUGGAACCACUGGUGCCAGGGCUGUAACAGUGGACAACUGACACAUUGACGAAGGGGAGGACAUGGAUGAGGAACCCUCAGUUUUGUGUCCCCAGCACUUCACCAUGAACAAAAACGACAUUCCACUGAUUUCAAAACUCCGUCAACUUCUUCCGUGACAACAACACUAUUGAUUACCGUUUCUUCCCCAUCACUGUCAUCAGAAGACUCUACAAUGUGUUCUUGAAUUAAAAAUGUUUUUACCUAAAUCAGGGAUUUCCUCAUUGUCUGAUUCAUUUUCAGAGUCAGAGAGAGUCAGCAUGGCACGAUCGUCCUCCAGAAAAUAGUCCAUCACAACUUUUUCCCACUGACCUUUGCUGCCCUGAAUUUAUCAGGCACCAAUGUUAUUGAGAGCAUUAGCAACACAUUUGCAGUUCUCCAUGGCUAAUGGUAUAUCUUUUGAAAAAACUGCAGUAGAACGGAUUACACAUAACGAGCAGCUCAUUUUAUAGACAGAAGAUGCACCAUGGCAGACCAAUCUGAAACUCAUCUCUUGGCAUGUCCAGCCCACUCAUUAUCUCAGCCAAUCAUGGCUAGCGGAAGGUUCUUGGCUUUUUUUGUGGCUAAACCAACUAAGCUCAUAAUUUAACAACUUUAUUUGUAUUUACAGAUGGCAUACACAUUUGUUAUUAAGACACACAAAGUUCAAAUGUUCCAGCAUUCUUGCCAAAAACACAUUUUGAUUUAAAAAAAAAUGUAAUAACAUUUAAAUAACUCGUGUGAUGUCGUGACUUGCGACAUGCCUAGUUUCCUGAAACGAGUCACAAAUGUGGUUUCGACUGAUAAUUGAGAUGUACAAACUAUGGCAUAAGGGAAUGAUCGCCAUCCGUAAUUUUGAUUAAGACAUUAAGGAGCAAACUAGGACGACAUAGUCAAUAUAACUAUUUGUUCAGCACUUUUGAAACCAUUCCUGAUUCACACAGGAAACUGUUGAGCGUGAAAACCCCAGCAGCAUUGCAGUUCUUGACACAAACCAAUAGUUGCGCCUGGCACCGACUACCAUACCCCGUUCAAAGUCACUUAAAUAUUUUGUCUUGCCCAUUCACCCUCUGAAAUAGUAGGUGUCCUUAAUGUUUUGUACAGUCUGUAUAUGGAUGGAGGUAUUAUUGGAAUGUGCUUUAAUCAGAGUCCAGUCCUGAAGGUGGCGGUAAUGCGCCUAAACAAACAAGUUAACCCUCAACAAAUGAAGAAGUCAACAAAACAACAUUGUUGCCUUCAUUUCGGCAUCAUUCGGGAUAGAUUUCGAAGUAAAACAAAUCUGUAGCUACAUCUCCGAUGUAGAAAGUCUAAUGGUGAUGCGUGUGUUUCCAGCAGCAGUGUCCCUAAAGCAGCAUGGUCUUAUUAUCCCUUCUCCAUGUCGGACUGAACUGUUUCAAACCAUCAAAGCCUGAAAGUGUGUUGUCAAUCUUAUUUUUAGACACAGAUGAAUCGAAUAAUUUACUGUCACUGGCUGGGACCUAGAACAAGAGUCUAUUGGGAAUGUCAAUGUUUUCAGUCACUUGCUUGUAAUAACUUGUCAUUAUCACCAUAGCUAUUACCUUUGAUGUUUUUACAUCCCUUCUUAUCCCUGACCAAGAUCAGAAUCAGUUGUGGAUGUCAAUAGCCACCUUUCCAUGUAGGAACUUAUGGAAAACUAUCCCUUGAGGGCCUUUUCACACCAAAUGUAUCCAAAUAAAUGUCUUCCUUAUGACAGCUUUCACAUCAAUUGUGAAACUGUACUGCAAAACUGUAGGUAUUUCAUACUCGUUGUGUGGACGUCUACACAUAACAUGAAUAUGAAGAGUAUCGUGGUCGGGACAAUAACUAGUGGUAGGGACAAUUUCAAUACAGCUUUAAACCAAUGCAGAUUAAUGACCUUGCACUGUCUGAAAUUGACAUUUUAGAAUGUUUACAGCCAACAAGUCACAGAUCCUCCUCGAAUUUACAUUCCUCAUUUACCUUGAUGCAUGCUAUUUGAAUCUGGGUGUACAACAGCUCUUUUCAGAGUGAAAUCCAGUUUGUGAUCCCCAAAAAUGUAUAAGUAGUGACUUUUUUGUUUAGUAUUUUUUAACUUUCCUGUCGGUUUGAAUAGUCACGAAACAUUAUGAUGAAAUCUUUGGCUCUGCUCCUUAUGUUUAUUCACAGAUCCUCUGCUUGACACAAUUGAGAGACAUGAAGUCUGUUUCUGUCCUCAACUUGUGGACCUGCUCUGAGGUUGGACACCACUGUUACAGUCAUAAAUGUUUCUGUCAGUCGACGGGCUGACUGACCUCAAGGCGCAGAAUGUGUUUUGUUUGUCGUUGACACAUUAUUCAGAGAACUGUCUGUUGUGAAUGACAUAGAUAUCCAGCCAUUUUUUAUUAUUUAUUAAAUAUGACCUGUACUAUGACAAUGGUAGUUAAACACUAGCACUACUUGAGAAAUUAUUAAUUACAUAUUCUGUGGCGGCAGUCAGCCUAGAGGUUUGAGAUGUGGAUCAGUUACUGAUGUGUGGCUUGUGUCAUUUCCCAGCUGCCCUCUGUGUACUAGUGUUGUACCCUUUAGCUGGGCACAUAUUCCCUAAAAUGUUCCAAUGGUGGUGUGCUGUAGCUGACCUGGUGCCUCUGCACGUGUGUUUUGGGGGGUUGGGAAAGGCUAAAGACAAAAUUCAAUUUCUGGAAAAAAAGGACAAAGCAUUAUCCUGUUGUAUUUUAGGUAUAGGAGGAGGUCUGGUCAUCUAGUCUGGUGCAGUGGGGUGUUCCAGGUCCGCAACUUGAUGAGAAAACUUCUUAAUCAUGAUAAGGACCGAUGGUAAAGGAAGACUGUGACGGAUCGUUACAAGGCACCCGGACCUUCAUCCUCGAUACCUCUCUUGCGAAUGACGGGGAUGUGAAGUAAAUUCUUCCCGUCCGACUCGUUGAAGAAAAAGUAUUCCUCCAGUACGGGGUCCUCUGCUUGCCAUACUAGAGGGACAUAGUCUGUUUCCAUCCUCAACUUGCGGACCUGCCCUGAGGAUGUUUUACACCACUGUUGCGCCUUCAGCCAUGUUGAUUUCCGACUGGUUGUCUUUGGACUACAUGCCAUGGGCUGACUGACCUGAACCUUUACCAGAACAGAAAUACAAUGUUCAUCAGACUUUCCUCACAUUGGACUACUCUCUGAUUAGUUAUGAGGUCACAGGAAAUGGACUCAUUACUCAUAAAUCAUUGCAGCUCACUUGACUGCUUCUGACUGUGGGUAGCAGAGCUCUCUGGUGUUUCACCAUUUGAAAUUAAACAACAAAAAUGUAAAUGACCAUUGUUUUACACUUCCGACAUAUCGCAGCAGUAAGAGUAGUAUUCUACCCGACUCGUAUAAACAACAUCCUUAAGUGUUUCAUUGAUAAAUGUAGUUUUGUAAGAUUGUAUAACUUUUUUACUUGUAAAAAACCUGCAGACAUGCAUGAUCCUGUAAAUAUUUUCAUGGAACAUAAAAUCUCACUACUUGGUAUUUUUAUAUGGUGAUUGUGAAAGAGAUAUUUGUAAUGUACUUUUGUGUGUUCAUUGAAAUCAAAUUUGUUUACAAUGGACUAGUCCGUAAGAUUUUAGUUAGGAUUUUUUUCUCUUCACUUUUUUGUACAAUCAUCUCCACGUAAUACAGCCAGCUUUUCCAUUCUUGGCUAUCUGCCUCUGCAGCCUUUGUCUAAACUUUCAUUUUUUAUAUUACUUUCAGUUAUUUUUAUUGCUACUCUCUUCACAUGGAGAUGUUCGUUAUGGGAUGAUGAUUCCAAUUUGGCAACAGGUGCUCGGAUAGUUGGGAUUAAAUAAGUAUUGUUGCGGUAAUACAAAAUGUAAAUAUCGAUCCCACAUUAAACCAAGUACAAUCACUACCAAGCAAUACAUUCAGAAAUAAUUUGUAGAGUACGGCAUAUGGUUCUAGACUAUUUGUGAAGUAUUUAUGUAGUGUUUAUGAAGCCUUUAUGAAUGCUAUUAAAAUUAUAAAUACUAGCAUUAUUAAUAGACUUUAUAUUUGUUUGGGGUGUUAAGUGAGCUAGCAAGUGUAUUAUGGCAUUUAGGUGUUAUGGAUAAUAGCUCUGGAGGAGAGGUCGAGCCAAAACAAAGUAAACACUGUUGCCUCCAGUACGAUAGGUGGCGAUAUUGCACUGUUUAUCUUGACUGCAAAACAAAGAA
This 4776-nucleotide long non-coding RNA is filed under the name Salmo salar (Atlantic salmon). Its description in RNAcentral is "lncRNA (ENSSSAG00000090845.1)". Lineage: Eukaryota; Metazoa; Chordata; Actinopteri; Salmoniformes; Salmonidae. The record is from RNAcentral.